GAUGAACGCUAGCGAUAGGCUUAACACAUGCAAGUCGAGGGGCAGCAUGGUCUUAGCUUGCUAAGACUGAUUGCGACCGGCGCACGGGUGCGUAACGCGUAUGCAACUUGCCUCACAGAGGGGGAUAACCCGUCGAAAGACGGACUAAUACCGCGUACCCUUUGGAUAGUGGAGCCUGACCCAAGGAAAUGAAAGUCGAUGUGAGAUAGGCAUGUGUCCCAUUAGCUAGUUGGUGAGGUAACGGCUCACUAGGGCGACGAUGGGUAGGGGAGGGGAGGGGGGGCGCCCCCAGACGGGUACCGGCCCACGUGCCACUCAGCUACGGCAGAGAGUAGUGCGGAAGAUAGCACAAUGGAAUAUUGCCUGAUCCGGCCAAGUCGCGUGAAGGAAGACUGUGUUAGGGAUUGUAAACUUCUUUUAGACGGCCACUUCAAGAGCCACGGGUGCCUCCCUGCCGGUACCGUAUGAAUAAGCACCGGCUAACUCCGUG
Molecule: ribosomal RNA, 490 nt
Filed under: uncultured bacterium
Lineage: Bacteria
Description: partial 16S ribosomal RNA
Rfam family: Bacterial small subunit ribosomal RNA
Source: RNAcentral